This 46-nucleotide transfer RNA is filed under the name Undaria pinnatifida. Its description in RNAcentral is "partial tRNA-Gln". Lineage: Eukaryota; Phaeophyceae; Laminariales; Alariaceae. The record is from RNAcentral.
UGGAGUCUAGGCAAGUUGGUAAGGCGCCCGUUUUUGGUACGGGGAU